This 482-nucleotide ribosomal RNA is filed under the name uncultured bacterium. RNAcentral describes it as "partial 16S ribosomal RNA". It matches the Rfam family "Bacterial small subunit ribosomal RNA", at positions 30 to 507 of the family's 1533-position model. The record is from RNAcentral.
AUUGAACGCUGGCGGCAUGCCUUACACAUGCAAGUCGAACGGUAACAGGUCUUCGGAUGCUGACGAGUGGCGAACGGGUGAGUAAUACAUCGGAACGUGCCCGAUCGUGGGGGAUAACGGAGCGAAAGCUUUGCUAAUACCGCAUACGAUCUACGGAUGAAAGCAGGGGACCGCAAGGCCUUGCGCGGACGGAGCGGCCGAUGGCGGAUUAGGUAGUUGGUGGGAUAAAAGCUUACCAAGCCGACGAUCUGUAGCUGGUCUGAGAGGACGACCAGCCACACUGGGACUGAGCCACGGCCCAGACUCCUACGGGAGGCAGCAGUGGGGAAUUUUGGACAAUGGGCGAAAGCCUGAUCCAGCCAUGCCGCGUGCAGGAUGAAGGCCUUCGGGUUGUAAACUGCUUUUGUACGGAACGAAAAGACUCUUUCUAAUAAAGAAGGUCCAUGACGGUACCGUAAGAAUAAGCACCGGCUAACUACGUG